RNAcentral lists this ribosomal RNA (366 nucleotides) under uncultured bacterium. RNAcentral's name for it is "bacterial SSU rRNA". It matches the Rfam family "Bacterial small subunit ribosomal RNA", at positions 29 to 419 of the family's 1533-position model. The record is from RNAcentral.
AGCGAACGCUGGCGGCAGGCUUAACACAUGCAAGUCGAACGGGCGUAGCAAUACGUCAGUGGCAGACGGGUGAGUAACGCGUGGGAACGUACCUUUUGGUUCGGAACAACCCAGGGAAACGUUGGGCUAAUACCGGAUAAGCCCUUACGGGGAAAGAUUUAUCGCCGAAAGAUCGGCCCGCGUCUGAUUAGCUAGUUGGUGUGGUAACGGCGCACCAAGGCGACGAUCAGUAGCUGGUCUGAGAGGAUGAUCAGCCACAUUGGGACUGAGACACGGCCCAAACUCCUACGGGAGGCAGCAGUGGGGAAUAUUGGACAAUGGGCGCAAGCCUGAUCCAGCCAUGCCGCGUGAGUGAUGAAGGCCCUA